This 311-nucleotide ribosomal RNA is filed under the name Cronartium bethelii. RNAcentral describes it as "Peridermium bethelii partial large subunit ribosomal RNA". It matches the Rfam family "Eukaryotic large subunit ribosomal RNA", at positions 672 to 980 of the family's 3401-position model. The record is from RNAcentral. Lineage: Eukaryota; Fungi; Basidiomycota; Pucciniomycetes; Pucciniales; Coleosporiaceae.
UGUAGUCUACAUGCUUGCGAGUAUUUGGGUGUUGAAACCCUUAUGCGAAAUGAACGUGAAUGUAAAUGGGAUCCUUUACUGGUGCACCAUUGACCAGUCCUGAUUAUUUAUAUGAAGGUACUGAGUAAGAGCAAGUAUGUUGGGACCCGAAAGAUGGUGAACUAUGCCUGAAUAGGGUGAAGCCAGAGGAAACUCUGGUGGAAGCUCGUAGCGAUUCUGACGUGCAAAUCGAUCGUCAAAUUUGGGUAUAGGGGCGAAAGACUAAUCGAACCAUCUAGUAGCUGGUUCCUGCCGAAGUUUCCCUCAGGAUA